Molecule: ribosomal RNA, 406 nt
Filed under: uncultured bacterium
Lineage: Bacteria
Description: partial 16S ribosomal RNA
Rfam family: Bacterial small subunit ribosomal RNA
Source: RNAcentral
AUUGAACGCUGGCGGCAGGCCUAACACAUGCAAGUCGAACGAGUGGCGGACGGGUGAGUAAUGUCUGGGAAACUGCCCGAUGGAGGGGGAUAACUACUGGAAACGGUAGCUAAUACCGCAUACCAUCGGAUGUGCCCAGAUGGGAUUAGCUAGUAGGUGGGGUAACGGCUCACCUAGGCGACGAUCCCUAGCUGGUCUGAGAGGAUGACCAGCAAAACUGGAACGGGGACACGGUCCAGACUCCUCGGGGAGGAAGCAGAGGGGAACUUUGCACAAGGGGCGAAAGCCGGCUGCAGCCAUGCCGCGUGGAUGAAGAAGGCCUUCGGGUUUUAAAGUACUUUCAGCGAGGAGGCGUUACUCGCAGAAGAAGCACCGGCUAACUCCGUGCCAGCAGCCGCGGUAAUAC